GAUGAACGCUGGCGGCGUGCCUAAUACAUGCAAGUCGAGCGAACGGACGAGAAGCUUGCUUCUCUGAUGUUAGCGGCGGACGGGUGAGUAACACGUGGAUAACCUACCUAUAAGACUGGGAUAACUUCGGGAAACCUGAGCUAAUACCGGAUGAUAUUUUGAACCGCAUGGUUCAAAAGUGAAAGACGGUCUUGCUGUCACUUAUAGAUGGAUCCGCGCUGCAUUAGCUAGUUGGUAAGGUAACGGCUUACCAAGGCAACGAUGCAUAGCCGACCUGAGAGGGUGAUCGGCCACACUGGAACUGAGACACGGUCCAGACUCCUACGGGAGGCAGCAGUAGGGAAUCUUCCGCAAUGGGCGAAAGCCUGACGGAGCAACGCCGCGUGAGUGAUGAAGGUCUUCGGAUCGUAAAACUCUGUUAUUAGGGAAGAACAUAUGUGUAAGUAACUGUGCACAUCUUGACGGUACCUAAUCAGAAAGCCACGGCUAACUACGUG
RNAcentral lists this ribosomal RNA (497 nucleotides) under uncultured bacterium. RNAcentral describes it as "partial 16S ribosomal RNA". It matches the Rfam family "Bacterial small subunit ribosomal RNA", at positions 28 to 507 of the family's 1533-position model. The record is from RNAcentral.